Molecule: ribosomal RNA, 535 nt
Filed under: uncultured bacterium
Lineage: Bacteria
Description: partial 16S ribosomal RNA
Rfam family: Bacterial small subunit ribosomal RNA
Source: RNAcentral
UGGGGAAUAUUGCACAAUGGGCGAAAGCCUGAUGCAGCAACGCCGCGUGAGUGAUGAAGGCCUUCGGGUUGUAAAGCUCUGUCUUUUGGGACGAUAAUGACGGUACCAAAGGAGGAAGCCACGGCUAACUACGUGCCAGCAGCCGCGGUAAUACGUAGGUGGCAAGCGUUGUCCGGAUUUACUGGGCGUAAAGGAUGCGUAGGCGGAUUUUUUAAGUGAGAUGUGAAAUACCCGGGCUUAACUUGGGUGCUGCAUUUCAAACUGGGAAUCUAGAGUGCGGGAGAGGAGAAUGGAAUUCCUAGUGUAGCGGUGAAAAUGCGUAGAGAUUAGGAAGAACACCAGUGGCGAAGGCGAUUCUCUGGACCGUAACUGACGUUGAGGCAUGAAAGCGUGGGUAGCAAACAGGAUUAGAUACCCUGGUAGUCCACGCCGUAAACGAUGAGUACUAGGUGUAGGAGGUAUCGACCCCUUCUGUGCCGCAGUUAACACAAUAAGUACUCCGCCUGGGGAAGUACGAUCGCAAGAUUAAAAACUC